Molecule: non-coding RNA, 387 nt
Organism: Camellia sinensis
Lineage: Eukaryota; Viridiplantae; Streptophyta; Magnoliopsida; Ericales; Theaceae
Source: RefSeq, a predicted model, not a curated record
AAGUCUUUGAUUAAUCGAGUUGACUUGUCGGAAUCAGAGGCUGAGGCUUCUCUGGAUUUUCUUUUGCAUGAAGCUAAUGAGGCGUUGAUCAGUGCCUUUCUUGUUCUAUUGAGAGCAAAAGGAGAAACUUAUGAAGAAAUAGUGGGAUUGGCAAGGGCAAUGAUCAAGCAUUGUAAAAGGGUGGAAGAAUUGGAUGAAGAUGGGGUUGACAUUGUUGGGACGGGAGGUGACGGUGCAAACAUCGUGAACAUUUGAACUGGUGCUUCAAUUCUUGCUGCUGCUUGUGGUGCAAAAAUUGCAAAACAAGGUAAUCGAUCAAGUUCUUCAGCUUGUGGAAGUGCCGAUGUGUUAGAAGCCUUGGGGGUUGUAAUUGACCUGGACCCAGAG